CUAUCCUGCGCCGGCCACGGUCAAUCCCGUGGCCGGGUUUAGCGACCCGAAAG
RNAcentral lists this non-coding RNA (53 nucleotides) under Pseudomonas sp. FeS53a. The record is from RNAcentral. Lineage: Bacteria; Pseudomonadati; Pseudomonadota; Gammaproteobacteria; Pseudomonadales; Pseudomonadaceae.